AGCCUUGCGCAGUGGCAGUAUCGUAGCCGAUGAGGGUAUUCCGAGGCGCGAUUAUUGCUAAUUGAAAACUUUUCCCAAUACCUCGCCUUGACGACUUGAAAUACAGUCGGCAAUGGCAAUUUUUGUGAGCCUCUUCGGAGG
Small nuclear RNA from Lonchura striata (white-rumped munia), 141 nucleotides. Its record names the gene U4. It matches the Rfam family "U4 spliceosomal RNA". Rfam says of the family: U4 small nuclear RNA (U4 snRNA) is a component of the major U2-dependent spliceosome. The record is from Ensembl. NCBI's taxonomy places the organism in Eukaryota, Metazoa, Chordata, Aves, Passeriformes, Estrildidae.